This 254-nucleotide ribosomal RNA is filed under the name uncultured bacterium. RNAcentral describes it as "partial 16S ribosomal RNA". It matches the Rfam family "Bacterial small subunit ribosomal RNA", at positions 524 to 776 of the family's 1533-position model. The record is from RNAcentral.
UACAGAGGGGGCAAGCGUUGUUCGGAAUUACUGGGCGUAAAGGGCUCGUAGGCGGCCAACUAAGUCAGACGUGAAAUCCCUCGGCUUAACCGGGGAACUGCGUCUGAUACUGGAUGGCUUGAGUUUGGGAGAGGGAUGCGGAAUUCCAGGUGUAGCGGUGAAAUGCGUAGAUAUCUGGAGGAACACCGGUGGCGGAGGCGGCAUCCUGGACCAACACUGACGCUGAGUGAGCGAAAGCCAGGGGAGCAAACGGG